Molecule: ribosomal RNA, 381 nt
Filed under: uncultured eukaryote
Lineage: Eukaryota
Description: partial 18S ribosomal RNA
Rfam family: Eukaryotic small subunit ribosomal RNA
Source: RNAcentral
CAAUAGCGUAUAUUAAAGUUGUUGCGGUAAAAAAGCUCGUAGUUGGAUUUCUACCGAAGAUAGCCGGUCGGGUCUUCGACCUUGUAUCUGGUUUUGUCUUUGGUAUCCUCAUAGGGAACGUUUCUGCGCUUUAUUGCGUGGUGCGGUAUCUAUGACUUUUACUUUGAGGAAAUUAGAGUGUUCACGGCAGGCAAACGCCUUGAAUAUAUUAGCAUGGAAUAAUAACAUAGGAUCUUCGUCCUAUUUUGUUGGUUUCUAGGGCUAAGAUAAUGAUUAAUAGGGAUAAUUGGGGGCAUCUGUAUCAACGCGUCAGAGGUGGAAUUCUAGGAUUGCGUUGCGACAAACUACUGCGAAAGCAUUUGCCAAGGAUGUUUUCAUUGA